This 987-nucleotide ribosomal RNA is filed under the name Bacillus velezensis. Its description in RNAcentral is "bacterial SSU rRNA". It matches the Rfam family "Bacterial small subunit ribosomal RNA", at positions 47 to 1016 of the family's 1533-position model. Lineage: Bacteria; Bacillati; Bacillota; Bacilli; Caryophanales; Bacillaceae. The record is from RNAcentral.
CCUAAUACAUGCAAGUCGAGCGGACAGAUGGGAGCUUGCUCCCUGAUGUUAGCGGCGGACGGGUGAGUAACACGUGGGUAACCUGCCUGUAAGACUGGGAUAACUCCGGGAAACCGGGGCUAAUACCGGAUGGUUGUUUGAACCGCAUGGUUCAGACAUAAAAGGUGGCUUCGGCUACCACUUACAGAUGGACCCGCGGCGCAUUAGCUAGUUGGUGAGGUAACGGCUCACCAAGGCGACGAUGCGUAGCCGACCUGAGAGGGUGAUCGGCCACACUGGGACUGAGACACGGCCCAGACUCCUACGGGAGGCAGCAGUAGGGAAUCUUCCGCAAUGGACGAAAGUCUGACGGAGCAACGCCGCGUGAGUGAUGAAGGUUUUCGGAUCGUAAAGCUCUGUUGUUAGGGAAGAACAAGUGCCGUUCAAAUAGGGCGGCACCUUGACGGUACCUAACCAGAAAGCCACGGCUAACUACGUGCCAGCAGCCGCGGUAAUACGUAGGUGGCAAGCGUUGUCCGGAAUUAUUGGGCGUAAAGGGCUCGCAGGCGGUUUCUUAAGUCUGAUGUGAAAGCCCCCGGCUCAACCGGGGAGGGUCAUUGGAAACUGGGGAACUUGAGUGCAGAAGAGGAGAGUGGAAUUCCACGUGUAGCGGUGAAAUGCGUAGAGAUGUGGAGGAACACCAGUGGCGAAGGCGACUCUCUGGUCUGUAACUGACGCUGAGGAGCGAAAGCGUGGGGAGCGAACAGGAUUAGAUACCCUGGUAGUCCACGCCGUAAACGAUGAGUGCUAAGUGUUAGGGGGUUUCCGCCCCUUAGUGCUGCAGCUAACGCAUUAAGCACUCCGCCUGGGGAGUACGGUCGCAAGACUGAAACUCAAAGGAAUUGACGGGGGCCCGCACAAGCGGUGGAGCAUGUGGUUUAUUUCGAAGCAACGCGAAGAACCUUACCAGGUCUUGACAUCCUCUGACAUCCUAGAGAUAGGACGUCC